This is a non-coding RNA of Cucurbita pepo subsp. pepo (vegetable marrow), 290 nucleotides long. Lineage: Eukaryota; Viridiplantae; Streptophyta; Magnoliopsida; Cucurbitales; Cucurbitaceae. The record is from RefSeq and is a predicted model, not a curated record.
GGUUCCCUUCCAAGCACUUCAGAAUCAAUUGUCUACCGAUUCGAAAUUCUUACUGAAGUGUUUGGGGGAACCCCCGGUCUCCCUUCGUAACGUUUUUAAGGAGCUUUCAAGCGUUCAGUUGGGUUAUAAAGUGAGGAGUUAGUAGAUUGGUGUUUGAGGCGUUCAAGAUUAAGAAGAUUCACAAGAUGGGAAUUGAGGUGGAGGAGCACUGGAAAGAUAUGCUGUCAUUGAGAGGUCUCAAUCAGGUUGUGCCAGGAUCAAAUAAAGAACUCAGCUGAGAUGAACAUUUA